Molecule: non-coding RNA, 634 nt
Organism: Xyrichtys novacula (pearly razorfish)
Lineage: Eukaryota; Metazoa; Chordata; Actinopteri; Labriformes; Labridae
Source: the annotation of a GenBank genome assembly
UUCUGAGCGGUAAACAAUCAAAUUAAACACCAUCAUUGUUCUAAGUGGGCUCUUACUGCUGCUUACACUCUGCUGUUGUCUAAACUCCUGUUUCUGUGCAGUGCUACAGGAGGUCAGACCUCAUCAAGCUGUCCCACUUCUACCUCCACGGCGGGCUCAGGAGUGCGAGCAGAGAGGUAAUGGAAACUGAAAAACACUGAUAAGACCUAUUUGCAUAAGCAACACGGCGCCUGAAUGCAAACUGAGCAGCUCUGUUCAAUUAGAGCGUCCAUCAAAGCUGCUUCUGCUUCAGCCCGAACACGCACACUCUCCUCAUUCUCCUGCAGAAACUACAGCAGACACUCGGAGGAGGAGAGAGAGAGUUCAUCCCACUCCUGAGUUUGAAUGCAGACAGUAUAACGUUCAGGUUUAUAGUAGCUAGCAGUCACAUUUACAGGCACAUAAGAAACCCGAUACAGCGUGACUUUAUUCCGCUAAAUGAUCUGUAAAAUGGAAAGUCAUGGAAAGUGAGCACCGAGCAUCCUUUUUAUAUGUUGAAGGAUUGUUCUCCUUUUACUGUCAGCUUUAAAGCAAAGUGAGGAGAUCGUAAGAAGAACGGGACCUGACCCGCUCCGACCUCAAAGACGGAGGAGGA